Molecule: non-coding RNA, 706 nt
Organism: Osmia lignaria (orchard mason bee)
Lineage: Eukaryota; Metazoa; Arthropoda; Insecta; Hymenoptera; Megachilidae
Source: RefSeq, a predicted model, not a curated record
UGACUGAGGCAAAUCACUCUUCGUCGAAAAAUCGUAAGAUUUCCAGACUAUCACCAGCAUAUACAGAAAGCUAAUAUAUAUAUAUAUAUAUAUUGUUUAACAUCGUAAUUGGUGAGUUUGUCUAUUUCAUUCUAUCUGCUACGACGAAUCUGGUUCAUAGUGAGGCAAAACGGGCGAUCUACGGGACUGCGUGUCCUGGAAAUUUCCCACUAGAUCGUGCUGUUCAUCGUCGCGUUCAAGGUAUCAAAUAUAUCAAUCUUAUUUUUGUAAAAAUUCCGAUCGAAGCAAAAGAGAGACGGCCCACGAGACCGCGGUCUUGGAAAUUUCCCCUUGGGACCGUCUCCUCUCGCCGUGCAAUAACUGUUUGUUACACAUCGUCGUUCGAAUCAAACCGAAUCAAAAUUUAAUUAAAUCAAAUAGUUUACCUUCCGUUACAAUUUUAUGUUAUAUUCUCAACUUAAUAGAUUUCACUUUUAUAUUUCUCUUAUUACUGCAUAUUUCAUUUACCAUUUUCUUGUAUUUCACACAGCUCGGACCUUUUGUUAACCAACGUUUUCAUUGUUAUAAUUAUCUUUUCUUGAAAUUAUAUUUUUGUUACUCAUAAACAGUCUCUAACUAAUUUCUCUUCAACACAUUUCCUUCCUACACAUUCACGCCUACCAUCUACAUACAAAUUCACACGAGGGGCCCGUAUGGGACCAGGGCA